Molecule: ribosomal RNA, 508 nt
Filed under: uncultured bacterium
Lineage: Bacteria
Description: partial 16S ribosomal RNA
Rfam family: Bacterial small subunit ribosomal RNA
Source: RNAcentral
AGUGAACGCUGGCGGCAGGCCUAACACAUGCAAGUCGAACGGCAGCACAGUAAGAGCUUGCUCUUAUGGGUGGCGAGUGGCGGACGGGUGAGGAAUACAUCGGAAUCUACUCUUUCGUGGGGGAUAACGUAGGGAAACUUACGCUAAUACCGCAUACGACCUACGGGAGAAAGCGGAGGACCUUCGGGCUUCGCGCGAUUGAAUGAGCCGAUGUGGGAUUAGCUAGUUGGCGGGGUAAAGGCCCACCAAGGCGACGAUCCCUAGCUGGUCUGAGAGGAUGAUCAGCCACACUGGAACGGAGAAACGGACCAGACUCCUACGGGAGGCAGCAGUGGGGAAUAUUGGACAAUGGGCGCAAGCCUGAUCCAGCCAUGCCGCGUGGGUGAAGAAGGCCUUCGGGUUGUAAAGCCCUUUUGUUGGGAAAGAAAAGCAGUCGGUUAAUACCCGAGUGUUCUGACGGUACCCAAAGAAGAAGCACCGGCUAACUUCGUGCCAGCCGCCGCGGUAA